Molecule: ribosomal RNA, 459 nt
Filed under: uncultured bacterium
Lineage: Bacteria
Description: partial 16S ribosomal RNA
Rfam family: Bacterial small subunit ribosomal RNA
Source: RNAcentral
CCUACGGGUGGCAGCAGUGAGGAAUAUUGGUCAAUGGGCGCGAGCCUGAACCAGCCAAGUCGCGUGAGGGAAGACGGUCCUAUGGAUUGUAAACCUCUUUUGUCGGGGAGCAAAAGACGCCACGCGUGGCGGUCCGAGAGUACCCGAAGAAAAAGCAUCGGCUAACUCCGUGACAGCAGCCGCGGUAAUACGGAGGAGGCGAGCGUUAUCCGGUUUGAUUGGGUUUAAAGGGAGCGCAGGAGGAAGAUCAAGUCAGCGGUAAAAUUGAGAGGCUCAACCUCUUCGAGCCGUUGAAACUGGUUUUCUUGAGUGAGCGAGAAGUAUGCGGAAUGUGUGGUGUAGCGGUGAAAUGCUUAGAUAUCACGCAGAACUCCGAUUGCGAAGGCAGCAUACCGGCGCUCAACUGACGCUCAUGCACGAAAGUGUGGGUAUCGAACAGGAUUAGAUACCCGGGUAGUC